This 253-nucleotide ribosomal RNA is filed under the name uncultured bacterium. Its description in RNAcentral is "partial 16S ribosomal RNA". It matches the Rfam family "Bacterial small subunit ribosomal RNA", at positions 524 to 776 of the family's 1533-position model. The record is from RNAcentral.
CACGUAGGGCGCAAGCGUUGGCCGGAAUUAUUGGGCGUAAAGAGCGCGUAGGCGGUCUGUUGCGUCUGCUGUGAAAACCCGGGGCUUAACCCCUGGCUUGCAGUGGAUACGGACAGACUAGAGGUAGGUAGGGGAGAAUGGAAUUCCCGGUGUAGCGGUGAAAUGCGCAGAUAUCGGGAGGAACACCGGUGGCGAAGGCGGUUCUCUGGGCCUUACCUGACGCUGAGGAGCGAAAGCGUGGGGAGCGAACAGG